GGCAGGACGGUGACUGAAGGGCAGGGGGUGUUUCUCCUUGCUCUGAGGUGCGUCCCAAGGACGCUGCUUCCCUCCCUCCUUCCUUCCCGGUUGCUCUCCCGAGGGAGAGCUUUCCCCUGCAGCAGGGUUCGCUGUGGAGGUGCCUGUUCCUGGCUGGCCGUUGGCGUGCUGGAAGCCCUUUGGCUUUGUGGAGGGGGGCCGUCCUGAGACGGGCAGGUGGGCAGCGGGGAGAUGACUCUGAAGGGGCUGAUGCAGCUCUGUUGUUUUAACUGAAUCUCUUAGGUGGAAAAGAGCCUGGAUGUGGCCCUCGGCUAUGGGCUGUGGAGAAACAUGGAGGAGGCUGGCGCGGGUCCCUCAUCGGGACACGUGCGUCCCCCCGCUGGGACACUGCGCUCUGCAACCCUUGCUGCUGCCACAGGGCACCCGUGCUGCGGGGCAGGUGGAGUCCUGCAGCGGACGUGGAAACGGUUUUCCUUGAGGGAAUGCCUUUUUCUAUGCCAGACAAAUGGCAACGACAGAUGGGACAUAACAGUGUUGGAGGCAUGCAAUGUUGGCAGAAACCAAAAUUACGAAAAUCCACUUUCCAACAACUUGGAGCACAUGGAGUACCACCAACAGGUGUGUCCCAAGGCAAUGAGAGUCUUUGUUGCUGCUCAUCUGAUUAAACUGACCACCAAGACAAUUCUAGUGGAAGAGGUCAUCAAAAAGCUUCUUGCCACCUGGACGGUUCCUGUUCCCAGGGGGAAGAAGCACAAGCUGUGCAGAUGGUGUUGAAAAGAUCUACGUUGCUACAUAACCUCUAUGGAAUCAGUACAUUGUCUUUUAUCUGGGUUCCUCUUUUCAUCACACUUGAAGUUACGUGAAGUGUAGCAUACGCUAGAAGCAGAGUUCCCCAGUAUUCGAAGAGGAGUAAUAAAUUUUCUGCAGAUUGUUUAAAUCUUUAUUUC
Molecule: long non-coding RNA, 947 nt
Filed under: Struthio camelus australis
Lineage: Eukaryota; Metazoa; Chordata; Aves; Struthioniformes; Struthionidae
Description: lncRNA (ENSSCUG00000014263.1)
Source: RNAcentral